CGCGCAGGCGGGCUUGUAAGUCAGUGGUGAAAUACUGCCGCUUAACGGUAGAACUGCCAUUGAUACUGCAAGUCUUGAAUAUGGUUGAGGUAGGCGGAAUGUGUCGUGUAGCGGUGAAAUGCAUAGAUAUGACACAGAACGCCGAUUGCGAAGGCAGCUUACUAAGCCAUUAUUGACGCUGAGGCACGAAAGCGUGGGGAGCGAACAGGAUUAGAUACCCUGGUAGUCC
This 229-nucleotide ribosomal RNA is filed under the name uncultured bacterium. Its description in RNAcentral is "partial 16S ribosomal RNA". It matches the Rfam family "Bacterial small subunit ribosomal RNA", at positions 568 to 796 of the family's 1533-position model. The record is from RNAcentral.